AGUGAAGGCUGGCGGUAGGCCUAACACAUGCAAGUCGAACGGCAGCACAGUAAGAGCUUGCUCUUACGGGUGGCGAGUGGCGGACGGGUGAGGAAUACAUCGGAAUCUACUUUUUCGUGGGGGAUAACGUAGGGAAACUUACGCUAAUACCGCAUACGACCUACGGGUGAAAGCAGGGGAUCUUCGGACCUUGCGCGAUUGAAUGAGCCGAUGUCGGAUUAGCUAGUUGGCGGGGUAAAGGCCCACCAAGGCGACGAUCCGUAGCUGGUCUGAGAGGAUGAUCAGCCACACUGGAACUGAGACACGGUCCAGACUCCUACGGGAGGCAGCAGUGGGGAAUAUUGGACAAUGGGCGCAAGCCUGGUCCAGCCAUACCGCGUGGGUGAAGAAGGCCUUCGGGUUGUAAAGCCCUUUUGUUGGGAAAGAAAAGCAGCAGGUUAAUACCCCGCUGUUCUGACGGUACCCAAAGAAUAAGCACCGGCUAACUUCGUG
This 492-nucleotide ribosomal RNA is filed under the name uncultured bacterium. RNAcentral describes it as "partial 16S ribosomal RNA". It matches the Rfam family "Bacterial small subunit ribosomal RNA", at positions 29 to 507 of the family's 1533-position model. The record is from RNAcentral.